AGUUGGAGAUGAAGUCUGGCUCCCGUGGGAGUCCGGACGAAGUCUUCCUGCUGCUGAAUUUGGAGAUGGAAUCCGGCUCCCGUAGGAGUCCGGGCGAAGCCUCCCUGUAGUCGAAGUAGGAGAUGAAGUCCGACUCUUGUAGGAGUCCGGACGAAGUCUUUCUGCUGCUGAAUUUGGAGAUGGAGUUCGGGCAAAGCCUCCCUGCA
Molecule: long non-coding RNA, 206 nt
Filed under: Elaeis guineensis (African oil palm)
Lineage: Eukaryota; Viridiplantae; Streptophyta; Magnoliopsida; Arecales; Arecaceae
Description: long non-coding RNA (EGUI_LNC063881)
Source: RNAcentral